Molecule: small nucleolar RNA, 137 nt
Rfam family: Plant small nucleolar RNA U3
About the family: Small nucleolar RNAs (snoRNAs) are involved in the processing and modification of rRNA in the nucleolus.
Source: Rfam
AUGAGCUUUAACUUGAACAGGAUCUGUUCUAUAGGCUCGUACCUCUGUGUCCUUGAGUUCUAAGGAGACAAGAUAUCAAGUCUGGUGGAUGAAUCAUGACCGUGUGAUCAGAGCGUGAGUAACGGCCGUCACCGACC